UACGUAGGUGGCAAGCGUUAUCCGGAAUUAUUGGGCGUAAAGAGUGAGCAGGCGGUUGAUUAAGUCUGAGGUUAAAGCGUGGGGCUCAACCCCAUAAAGCCUUGGAAACUGAUCGACUAGAGUACGGGAGAAGUGAAGGGAACUCCAUGUGUAGCGGUGAAAUGCGUAGAUAUAUGGAAGAACACCAGUGGCGAAGGCGCUUCACUAGCCCGAAACUGACGCUCAGUCACGAAAGCGUGGGUAGC
This 245-nucleotide ribosomal RNA is filed under the name uncultured Anaerorhabdus sp. RNAcentral's name for it is "partial 16S ribosomal RNA". It matches the Rfam family "Bacterial small subunit ribosomal RNA", at positions 524 to 769 of the family's 1533-position model. The record is from RNAcentral. Lineage: Bacteria; Bacillati; Bacillota; Erysipelotrichia; Erysipelotrichales; Erysipelotrichaceae.